UACGGGGGGAGCAAGCGUUGUUCGGAUUUACUGGGCGUAAAGGGCGCGUAGGCGGCCUCCGCAAGUCGACUGUGAAAUCUCCGGGCUUAACCCGGAAAGGUCAGCCGAAACUGCGGGGCUAGAGUGCAGAAGGGGCAACUGGAAUUCUCGGUGUAGCGGUGAAAUGCGUAGAUAUCGAGAGGAACACCAGUGGCGAAGGCGAGUCCCUGGACAAAACCUGACACUGAGGCACGAAAGCUAGGGGAGCAAACAGG
This 254-nucleotide ribosomal RNA is filed under the name uncultured bacterium. RNAcentral's name for it is "partial 16S ribosomal RNA". It matches the Rfam family "Bacterial small subunit ribosomal RNA", at positions 524 to 776 of the family's 1533-position model. The record is from RNAcentral.